AUUAACUAGGGAGAUAAAACGCGCGCGGCAAGCCGCAAGCGCUAGUGAGAAAAUUGAUUUGUUGACCAACUCUUGAGUACCAACAGCUAACCAGCAGACAGUUGGUAUUGCAACACUGUUUCCCGAUUGGUUCGUCAAAAGAUUCUUCGUUCAGGCCGAACGAAAUAGCCAGCGCUGAAAGGUUUUUUGUCUUUUUUGGCGCAGUUUGGACUGAAAGACUUUAACCAGUUCUUUAAUAAGAGAGAUGAAACCUGAUCUGCAUCAGAAUAAAGGACAAAAUUGACAUAUCCAGUGACACUUAAUAAUUAAGUGAUCGCCGGCCAAGACGAAAAGCUGUGUUUGGUUUCUUGCUUAGGAUGUGUAUCCCCAAAAAAUUUUUACUUUUCGCCUGUACGAGCUCAGGUACGCUGAUUUCAAAGUUUCCCAUAUACUCCUUUUUUUAUUAAUCCAUCCUCGAGCGAAAAAAGCUGAGAAAAAGUUCAGUUUUUAAAGCAAGCCACCAGAAGCCGUUUGUAGUGGUUCUUAGCACCAGCAUUCACUUGAAAGUUCUUCCUCAACAAUUAUGCGUGCACAUGCGCAGUCAUUAAAAUUCUCGACACCUUGACGGAUGUUUAUUAACUCUUUGAUCCCUGUCUUUAUCUUGUCUUCUUAAAUGAGCACGUGGUUUCUGUUAUUCCUCGGGUUUCAUCCCAUCCCAAUUUUACAAGCAUUCGUGGUGGAUGAUUUGCAUGGCCCAUGACGCCCUUUGACCAGAACAAGCUAAUUUUCCGGGGUCACGUUUGCAUUACGGUUUCAGUCCUCUUCCACCGACCAUGAAAAAUUCAACGCUUGAUUAGCUAGGGAACAAUGGAUAAUACCGGUACCGUGAACGACAGGUCGAUAACCUUUUGCCUAUUCUUACAUCAGAGGUAGAUAACGAGGGUUGCUCUCUUGUCUUUUGCCCCGUAGUAUAAUAACAACAAAGAACGUUUCUCCUGGGUGGAAAAGGCUAUUGAAAGAAGGAAAAUGAGGCUUAGAUUUUUCGUAUUUCUCGUGCUUUUAGGUCUAACUCUUUCCACAUUGAAUGUGGAUGCCAAGUCACUAAAAGGAAAACACAAGAAAUCCAAGCACGAUGAAGGCAAGAAACAGGAUGAUGAAGCUGCUGCCGCAGAAGAACCCGCAGCCGAAGAAGCUGGAGCUGCCUCAGGCAGUGCUGCUGGUAAGUAGGACCGCUGUGGAUAAUGCGAAACUUUGGUCCCUGUACAAUCUCAGAACUUAGCAUAAAAUAGUGGCUUAACACCUAAGUCC
Orbicella faveolata is the source of this 1287-nucleotide long non-coding RNA. The record is from RefSeq and is a predicted model, not a curated record. NCBI's taxonomy places the organism in Eukaryota, Metazoa, Cnidaria, Anthozoa, Scleractinia, Merulinidae.